CAUUUGACGUUAGCUGCAGAAGAAGCUACCGGCUAACUCCGUGCCUAGCAGCCGCGGUAAUACGGAGGGUGCGAGCGUUAAUCGGAAUUACUGGGCGUAAAGCGCUAUGCAGGUGGUUUGUUAAGUCAGAUGUGAAAGCCCGGGGCUCAACCUCGGAAUUGCAUUUGAAACUGGCAAACUAGAGUACUGUAGAGGGGGGUAGAAUUUUCAGGUGUAGCGGUGAAAUGCGUAGAGAUCUGAAGGAAUACCGGUGGCGAAGGCGGCCCCCUGGACAGAUACUGACACUCAGAUGCGAAAGCGUGGGGAGCAAAACAGGAUUAGAUACCCCUGGUAG
Molecule: ribosomal RNA, 334 nt
Filed under: uncultured bacterium
Lineage: Bacteria
Description: bacterial SSU rRNA
Rfam family: Bacterial small subunit ribosomal RNA
Source: RNAcentral